AGCGAACGCUGGCGGCGUGCCUAACACAUGCAAGUCGAACGUGAAACCCCGCAAGGGGGAGUAAAGUGGCGUACGGGUGAGUAACACGUAGGUAAUCUACCCUAGAGUCUGGAAUAACCGGCCGAAAGGCUGGCUAAUACUGGAUAGAGCGACGGAAUCCGUAAUUGGGUUUUUCGGGAAAGGGAGCUCGUAAGAGCCUUCGCUUUAGGAUGAGCCUGCGUCCCAUCAGCUAGUUGGUAAGGUAACGGCUUACCAAGGCUAUGACGGGUAGCUGGUCUGAGAGGAUGAUCAGCCACACUGGAACUGAAACACGGUCCAGACUCCUACGGGAGGCAGCAGUGGGGAAUCUUGCGCAAUGGACGAAAGUCUGACGCAGCCACGCCGCGUGAGUGAAGAAGGCCUUCGGGUUGUAAAGCUCUGUCGGAAGGGACGAAAACUCUUACGGUUAAUAGCCGUAGGAAUUGACGGUACCUUUAAAGGAAGCACCGGCUAACUCUGUGCCAGCCGCCGCAGUAACAC
RNAcentral lists this ribosomal RNA (519 nucleotides) under uncultured bacterium. Its description in RNAcentral is "bacterial SSU rRNA". It matches the Rfam family "Bacterial small subunit ribosomal RNA", at positions 29 to 526 of the family's 1533-position model. The record is from RNAcentral.